Molecule: non-coding RNA, 638 nt
Organism: Pelobates cultripes (western spadefoot toad)
Lineage: Eukaryota; Metazoa; Chordata; Amphibia; Anura; Pelobatidae
Source: the annotation of a GenBank genome assembly
CCCUGGCCAAUCUGCAUCUCCUCAUAGAGAUGGAUUGAAUCAAGAAAGUUCAGUGUCUCCAUGCAAAGGGCGGAGACGCUGAAUGGCAGUACUGCUUACUGUGCAGCACUGACCCAGGAAGCACCUCUAGCAGCCAUCUGUGGAAUGGCCAGUGGAAGUAUCCAUAGUCUGUAAUUUAAACACUGCAUUUUCUCUGAAAAGACAGUGUUUACUGCAUAAAGCCCAAAGGGAAUGAUUCUACUUGCCAGAACAAAUACAAUAGCUGUAGUUGUUCUGGUGACUAUAGUGUCCCUUUAAAGUGCACUGGCAGUAAUGCCCAACAGGGCUUGGUGUUGCCUGGAACAGCAUAAAAUGUAACCUAUACAUUGUACUAGCCAAUCUGCUAAUAAAUGUGAAGAUGAAUGGUUAUUCUCGAUAUGCGUUUACCUUUUCUGGUUAUUACUGCUAUGCCAUCAGCAUGACAUUGGCAUAGCAGUAAAACUUUACGGCUAUGCCAAUGUUGUGCUGACGGCAUAGCAGUAAAGGCUGUAUCUAAUUGCUCCACGCUCACAAAUUAUAUGGUCACAUCCCUCAACCCCUCUGUUCAUGUGCGUCCAACUCAUCUAGUUACAAUUACGUGUUUGUCAUUCCGUCCAUUU